This 765-nucleotide long non-coding RNA is filed under the name Musa acuminata (dwarf banana). RNAcentral describes it as "long non-coding RNA (MACU_LNC003912)". Lineage: Eukaryota; Viridiplantae; Streptophyta; Magnoliopsida; Zingiberales; Musaceae. The record is from RNAcentral.
UGUAUAUCUUUGAAUUGGCAAUCUCUUGUGUUUAGAUGCAAGUUCUGUGAUUUAGUGCUGAAUAUACCUGUCACCGUUACCUUUCUACCGUUUGGGGGCAAUGUAUUCCGUUACCAGUAACUCUGUGGUGUAAAAAGUUUGAUUGAACUUGAACGUGGCACCUCGUUUUCUGUACCCACUCCAUAAAAAAUUGCCCUAAGUUUGUCAGAUUGGGAUGGGGAUCGAUUAGGGGUGAGAUGUUCAGUCUGACUGGAUCGUCAGUACUAAGACAGUAGUUACGCAUAAUAUUUUAUGAUAUGAUGUAAUAAAAUAUAAUAAAUUUGAGACAAAAAAAAAUGUAUUGUAGGGCAAUAGAAUCCGACUUUAUAAAAAGGUGGAAGCGAAAUGUGGAACGUUAAACAAAAAAAGAAGCUUAUUUAUACAAAAAGAUGCUGAUAUUUUGACUAGCAAAUGUAUAUAUCACAUAAAAUAAUGAAAAUAUUAUCCACCUGAUGGUUUUUUUAGUUAUUAAGCUACUGAAGUACUGAUAAAUACAAAGACAAACGAAAAGGUUCUUUGACAAGAGUCGUUUAUGGAACAUCCGCUGUUCUAUUCCAUCUGUCUAUGGUGAGCCAAAAAGGGAUAGGAGUAUUUUUUUCACAUAGGAGUGUUGGGUCUGUAGUCCAUUAGUUUAGACUAUAGAAGACUUUAAUAAUCCAUAGUCCAUUUUAAUCAUAAUUUUUUUUUAUUUUUUAAUCUAAUCCAAAAUGGGAGGCUAAUGAUGGC